This 189-nucleotide small nucleolar RNA is filed under the name Propithecus coquereli (Coquerel's sifaka). RNAcentral describes it as "Small nucleolar RNA SNORA81 (ENSPCOG00000009622.1)". It matches the Rfam family "Small nucleolar RNA SNORA81". The record is from Rfam by way of RNAcentral. Lineage: Eukaryota; Metazoa; Chordata; Mammalia; Primates; Indriidae.
UUUAUCUUGUUUAAGCUCUGUACUAAAAUCGCAGAAACUAAUAUUAUAUCUUAACAUUUGUAAUGAAGCUAGCAGAGAAACACAAGAAAAACAACAACAACUGAACAACUGUACCAGAUAGGAGAAAAAUUGAGUUGAACUUCUUUCUUAAGUCUAGAGUACAUUGUUCUAAGAUUUGGUACAAUAUCU